GCGAACGCUGGCGGCAGGCCUAACACAUGCAAGUCGAACGGACCCUUCGGGGUUAGUGGCGGACGGGUGAGUAACACGUGGGAACGUGCCUUUAGGUUCGGAAUAGCUCCUGGAAACGGGUGGUAAUGCCGAAUGUGCCCUUCGGGGGAAAGAUUUAUCGCCUUUAGAGCGGCCCGCGUCUGAUUAGCUAGUUGGUGAGGUAACGGCUCACCAAGGCGACGAUCAGUAGCUGGUCUGAGAGGAUGACCAGCCACACUGGGACUGAGACACGGCCCAGACUCCUACGGGAGGCAGCAGUGGGGAAUCUUGCGCAAUGGGCGAAAGCCUGACGCAGCCAUGCCGCGUGAAUGAUGAAGGUCUUAGGAUUGUAAAAUUCUUUCACCGGGGACGAUAAUGACGGUACCCGGAGAAGAAGCCCCGGCUAACUUCGU
Molecule: ribosomal RNA, 431 nt
Filed under: uncultured bacterium
Lineage: Bacteria
Description: partial 16S ribosomal RNA
Rfam family: Bacterial small subunit ribosomal RNA
Source: RNAcentral